GAAGUGUAUAGAAAAGGCUUAAUAUGGUGUGAACUGUUCUCAUUAAGUUAAUCCAGUCAGUAGAAAUGAGAUGUCUUUAGACAAGUCAUGUGGAGGUCUUCAGCUGUACAAACAUGGCUCGUUCUCUGUCAGAGCGAUAUGAAACAAAGUCAAAUAACCAAGGAGUCAACCUACUGCUGACCAGAACGUUACUGCAAUUGUCAAAUAUUUGUGAGGGGUGACGGUAUUAAAGUACAUAAUUAUACAGCUCUAUCUCAGUAACCUGAAACUGCAAGCUUGGUGAUGUAUCUCCCUGGUAAAGUUCUAGGAAUGUAUUGCUAGUUUAUUGUCCACAAGUGUCAGCGUUCUUAAAUGGAAUGAUGUUCCGACCUGUAUAUCUGAAUGUGACAGUGUUUAAGAUGUCCUGUACAGCUCAUAUCUACUAGGAAUAUAGGCAGCUGUCAUGUUGUCUGAUGCAUCAGUGGAGUGUAAUUUUUACAUGUCCCCAGCAGGUGGCGUUAGAAUGCUUUUCCACUAUUCACCGGAGAGGGGAAACACUAUUGCAUUUCUCCUCCAAAAUAAGGACAGUGAUUUAGACUUUGUAGUAGGCUGAAUGAGAGUUAAAUCAUAUGUCCUGAGGUUAUGAUAAAGCCUAAUGAGCAAGUAUUUGCUGUACAGCAACCUAAAGGAGAAAGCGCUUGGUUCUGUUUUGUUGAUUUUGGAGGACUUAAUUUUACUCCGGGAUGCAGUAAUUUUUCUUGUUGUCCAGCACAGCAGUUGCUUAAGUCAUCUCAGUUGGUGCUUAGAUAAACAUCCUUCAUCCCUAGGGAAUAAGGACACUUCGACAUCUCAGAUUUCCAGAGCUUGUCAUAUCCCUCCUCUCCAACCUCAUGGCCGCUCUCGUGUCUCUUAAAACCCUAAAAGUGUCAGUCACUGGUACUUUCAAGGAUGUUUACAACUGUUUUCAUUUCCAUGGUUCAACUCUGUUCAUUGCGGUCUUCCCCCGUCCUCCCCUUCUGGAGUUUAUGUAAAGUGUACAUUACCACAGUUUUUUUAUACGAUACUGUAACUUGCCUUUGUACAUUUGGGCGAAAAAUAAAUCUUUUUAUGAGACAAUCA
Molecule: long non-coding RNA, 1098 nt
Organism: Esox lucius (northern pike)
Lineage: Eukaryota; Metazoa; Chordata; Actinopteri; Esociformes; Esocidae
Source: Ensembl